GUGGGGAAUAUUGCGCAAUGGGCGAAAGCCUGACGCAGCAACGCCGCGUGCGGGAUGACGGCCUUCGGGUUGUAAACCGCUUUCAGCAGGGACGAAGGGUUUCUGACGGUACCUGCAGAAGAAGCACCGGCUAACUACGUGCCAGCAGCCGCGGUGAUACGUAGGGUGCGAGCGUUGUCCGGAAUUAUUGGGCGUAAAGAGCUUGUAGGCGGUCCGUUGCGUCGGAAGUGAAAACUCAGGGCUUAACCCUGAGCCUGCUUUCGAUACGGGCGGACUUGAGGGAUGUAGGGGAGAACGGAAUUCCUGGUGGAGCGGUGGAAUGCGCAGAUAUCAGGAGGAACACCAGUGGCGAAGGCGGUUCUCUGGACAUUUCCUGACGCUGAGAAGCGAAAGCGUGGGGAGCAAACAGG
This 410-nucleotide ribosomal RNA is filed under the name uncultured bacterium. Its description in RNAcentral is "bacterial SSU rRNA". It matches the Rfam family "Bacterial small subunit ribosomal RNA", at positions 354 to 776 of the family's 1533-position model. The record is from RNAcentral.